RNAcentral lists this ribosomal RNA (291 nucleotides) under uncultured bacterium. Its description in RNAcentral is "partial 16S ribosomal RNA". It matches the Rfam family "Bacterial small subunit ribosomal RNA", at positions 773 to 1060 of the family's 1533-position model. The record is from RNAcentral.
GUGGAUUAGAUACCCUAGUAGUCCACGCCCUAAACGAUGUCAACUGGUUGUUGGGUGGGUAAAACCAUUUAGUACCGUAGCUAACGCGUGAAGUUGACCGCCUGGGGAGUACGGCCGCAAGGUUAAAACUCAAAGGAAUUGACGGGGACCCGCACAAGCGGUGGAUGAUGUGGAUUAAUUCGAUGCAACGCGAAAAACCUUACCUACCCUUGACAUGUUCAGAAGCCUGAAGAGAUUUGGGUGUGCCCGAAAGGGAACUGGAACACAGGUGCUGCAUGGCUGUCGUCAGCU